CCCCUCUCAGAAUCGCACCUGAAGAGUUUUCAGUCCUCUAUCAGUCUCAGAACCGGGAGGGAGAGUCAAGGAGAGGCAUACCCAUUCCAUUCCUAGCUUGGGCAGUGGCUAGUGAGUGGAAGGCAACCUGCUAUAAGU
Molecule: small nucleolar RNA, 138 nt
Organism: Tachyglossus aculeatus (Australian echidna)
Lineage: Eukaryota; Metazoa; Chordata; Mammalia; Monotremata; Tachyglossidae
Source: RefSeq, a predicted model, not a curated record